ACCUCUCAAAGACAAAUAUCUUAAUGUGAUAUUUUAAAAUUUGGUAUAGAUUUUUUAAGUAUUUAAAUCGCAAAGACUUGUAGAGGCAAAUGUCUCUGUUAGAGAAAUUGUUAAUAAUAUAUAAAUUAAGUAAGGUAAGGAAAAAAGGUAAGGUUAAAAAUGGCCCUUGAUGGACUGAGGUAGGUUUUUUCUUCAGGUAGGACAAAAGGUAAUAAAGUUUUAAAAUUUACAAUAUCAAUGUAUUAUUAUUUGUCUUUAAGGGUCGCCUUGAAAACACAUAAUGAUUAUAAUUCGUUUUAGAUAUUCGAAAAACUAGACAUGAAUGGUACAAAGUUUAAAUAAUUAUUGAGUUCAUUUAUUUCCUUUUCCCUAAAAAUUUUAUAGAUCUUUAGAUAAGAAUUACAGCCUAGAUGACGCAAAUCCAAGGUUCAAAAAAAGAAAAGAUCAAAGGGAUCGCGGAGUUUCUGUUUCUGAAAAUAAAAAAAAAUCAAUAUAGAAUAAUGACUAUGACUCAAACUGAAUACUUUUAUCAGGGAUUUAAAUUUGUAAAUAUUGUUCGAUUGAGGUUAUUACGUUAGGUUUUCCAUUGAACCAUAAGUGAAUGCUGAAAAAUAUCUUAGAACAAAUCAAGAAUCCCUAACGAUUGAGAAUUUGAUUAAAUACGAUGUUUUAAUCAAAUUGUUGAAUUCUCUGAAACUUUAAAUUCACCGAAUGUCGGGACGACAAUCUUCAUUGAGUGGAGAGUAGUGUUACGACUAUGAAACUAGCCAUAUUCCCUGUUUCCAUGAGAUAGACAAAGACAGACACUUAGACUGAAUAAUAACAGAUGACGACCACAACAGAUAUAAACAUUAGAAUGUCUUAAAAUAAACGUGAGAUAAUGAAGAUCUAUCAUAAAAAUAACAACAUUAUCUUUAUCUUUUAUGCUCAUGCGUAACAAUAUCAUUAUAGUUCGUGUAUGGCUGAGGGUGAUUUAUUUGGGUCGCGUUUACUUAUAAAAUAUUCCGUCUAUUUACUGUAUCAAUCUCACUAGUGUAUUGAAUAAAUCAAUUUGUCUGUGAACGAAAUAUUGAAAUUUUUUUUUUUUUUUUUUAAUUUAUCUCAAUUUUUUGUGGUCAGUUUUGGAUCAAGCAUCCUGACUUAUUCUUGACCAGGUAUGUACUGUGGUCAGGUACCCGGACCAUGUUCGAAAGAAUUCGAAUGCGAACUCUUAUGAAGAGCUUUCAGAGACUAUUUGCUCUAUAAUAUAGUGUCUUUAUUACAAAGGCAAUCAUCUCUGACUCAGAGGCUGCAGCUGGAAAUUUUUUAGAGGUUGACAGAAAAAAUUGUCGAUAAUCGCGAAGUUUUUAGCAGCCUCUAAACUGACUCUAAUUUGGCCAGAAUAGAGACAGUUGUAGAGGCUACUGAGUUUUUGAAUGUUUUUUACAGAGAUAGAAAUUUUAUCUCGGGUUGUGAGGUUGUCGUCUGGCAGCCGUUCCCAUUGACACUCAGACCCCGUUGGCCCUCAUUUUUAUUGUACGGAGGCUUUAUUCGGAAAUAGAGUACAUGAGAUUAUGAGAAGAACUGCGCCUUUGGAUAAACAGAGCACUGGGGUAUUUUCGUUUAUUAACAAAUUUUUUUUCGCCUUGCAAUACCGGCAAAAUUACCUUAAGAAUAAGCUGUUUCUUGAAGUGCAACAAUGGCAAAAAUUCCGAUAAUGGCUGUAUCGUAUUUUUGGCUACUCGGGAAAAAACGUUUUUAUAUAAAUAUAUAUAAUUAUAAAUUACAUUAUUAAAUUAUUAGUAUCAUCUCAGGAAAAAAAACUAUCUAUAUCUAUACUGUCAACGGUAUAUACUAGAAGUUGAAAUCUUGAAUAUAUUCAACGAUAUUCGAGUAUUCGGGAAAAUUUUUUGGAUAUACCUGGCUGACGGCGAUACGGAUCCCGCCUGAUCUGGGAAACAGAUCCAGGAGAUCCAGACAUAUCCAGAAAAUUUGUUUCCUUAGUAUUCAAAUAUCGUUCAAGAUUUUAACUUUUAGAACAGAUCAUUGACUGUAGAUAUGAAGUUUGGACUUCAAUGAAAAAAAAAUAAAAAAAAUCAUUCGACGAAAAUCGUUUAUCAACAAUUGCAUACCACCUCGAACAACGAAUAUUGUUGAAUAAUCUUUUUUUUAUUCUUCAAAAAUUGUCGUGAGUUUGUUCGAAUUAAUGAAAGCAGGAUUCGUACUUCAAUAAUAUUUUUUAAAAAAUAAUAGGUUCACAUGACCACUGCACUGAGAGAAUUUUCACCGGAAUAUCACGUGGGAAUACUAAAGUGACGGAACCGUUGAGUGUUGACGUACAACGUGAUUUUCAAAGUAAAAUACUAAAAAAGUUUCGGUAGAACCACUUGAUUUUCUGAAAUUUAUCAUUGGAUUCUUCACCAUGGCUUUUUCAUGUGAAUAAUCCUGUGAGGGAAAAGCAGCAGCUAAGGAAAAGAUGUAGCUAAGGAAUUGAGGUUGCCAUAAAAUUAUGUUUGAAAAAAAUAAUGUUGCUUAAAAUAUACACUGAAAAAACGUUCCCGCUGCAGGCACGGUACGUUCCUGUCUCCGUAGCAUGGUAGAAGUACUACAGGUAUGGCAGUAGUCCAUGCUUUUUUCGUCGCGUUCUGCGCAGCCUUAUUUUUUCAACCAAUCAAGAACGCGCCAUCGAGCUGUUUUGCUUUUCUUUCUAACACGCAAUCUCUAUUAUAAGAUCCUUUCUCUCUAACAUACUGUUUUGACAACUAUUUUUUAUAUUGUUGUAAAUACUAAUAAAUAUAUGUGGAGCAUGUUUAUAAAAAAUAAAAAAAAUAAAAAAACCAAGACAGUUUAACAAAUAAAUUAUAAUAUUUUCA
Long non-coding RNA from Aphidius gifuensis, 2852 nucleotides. RefSeq lists it as uncharacterized. The transcript is spliced from 3 exons. The record is from RefSeq and is a predicted model, not a curated record. Lineage: Eukaryota; Metazoa; Arthropoda; Insecta; Hymenoptera; Braconidae.